UAAAAGUCGUAACAAGGUUUCCUUGGGAUACCCGCCCGUAGUUCUAACCAUAAACGAUGCCAACCAGCGAUCCGCCUGAGUUACUCAAAUGACUCGGCGGGCAGCUUCCGGGAAACCAAAGUAUUUGGGUUCCGGGGGAAGUAUGGUUGCAAAGCUGAAACUUAAAGGAAUUGACGGAAGGGCACCACCAGGAGUGGAGCCUGCGGCUUAAUUUGACUCAACACGGGAAAACUUACCCGGCCCGGACACUGGGAGGAUUGACAGAUUGAGAGCUCUUUCUUGAUUCGGUGGAUGGUGGUGCAUGGCCGUUCUUAGUUGGUGGAGCGAUUUGUCUGGUUAAUUCCGAUAACGAACGAGACUCUAGCCUAUUAAAUAGGUGCGUGGUUCACUGCACCUUGCACCCUUCUUAGAGGGACAAGCGGCUCCUAGCCGCACGAAACAGAGCAAUAACAGGUCUGUGAUGCCCUUAGAUGUCCGGGGCCGCACGCGCGCUACACUGAAGGAAGCAGCGUGUUCUUACCCCUGUCUGUAAAGACUGGGUAACCCGUGGAACCUCCUUCGUGAUUGGGAUAGGGGCUUGCAAUUGUUCCCCUUGAACGAGGAAUUCCCAGUAAGCGCGAGUCAUAAGCUCGCGUUGAUUACGUCCCUGCCCUUUGUACACACCGCCCGUCGCUACUACCGAUUGAAUGAUUUAGUGAGGUCUUCGGACCGAUACCCGGAGCGGCCUUUCGGUUGCGCCGGUGUGUUGGAAAGAUGACCAAACUUGAUCAUUUAGAGGAAGUAAAAGUCGUAACAAGGUUUCCGUAGGUACCCCUGCGGGAAA
Molecule: ribosomal RNA, 823 nt
Filed under: Ixodes granulatus
Lineage: Eukaryota; Metazoa; Arthropoda; Arachnida; Ixodida; Ixodidae
Description: SSU rRNA
Rfam family: Eukaryotic small subunit ribosomal RNA
Source: RNAcentral